RNAcentral lists this ribosomal RNA (420 nucleotides) under uncultured bacterium. Its description in RNAcentral is "bacterial SSU rRNA". It matches the Rfam family "Bacterial small subunit ribosomal RNA", at positions 356 to 773 of the family's 1533-position model. The record is from RNAcentral.
AAGGAAUAUUGGUCAAUGGAGGGAACUCUGAACCAGCCAUCCCGCGUGCAGGAUGAAGGGGCUCUGCCCUGUAAACUGCUUUUGAAUGGGACGAAAAAGCCUCACUUGUGAGGAACUGACGGUACCAUUAGAAUAAGCACCGGCUAACUCCGUGCCAGCAGCCGCGGUAAUACGGAGGGUGCAAGCGUUAUCCGGAAUCACUGGGUUUAAAGGGUGCGUAGGCGGUUGUAUAAGUCAGUGGUGAAAGGCCGUAGCUUAACUAUGGGAUUGCCAUUGAUACUGUAUGACUUGAAUGAGGUUGAGGUUGGCGGAAUGUGGCAUGUAGCGGUGAAAUGCUUAGAUAUGCCAUGGAACAUCGAUUGCGAAGGCAGCUGACUGGACCUGAAUUGACGCUGAGGCACGAAAGCGUGGGGAGCGAAC